ACUGUUUUAUAUACUGAAGCCUAUAAUCUUUAGUGUUGUUUUAAAAUUUCUAACCACAUUCUACAUUUGUAUUAAUGUAUUUUAUGCUCUUUUCAUGGUAUAAGGGAAUCGUUAUAACUUUUUUAUCAAUUACUUUAUUAAAACUUCAUAAUACUCCCUAAAUCGAUUAAAUAACCGCUAUAAAAUCACUAUUAUGUUGAAAAACGGAGACAACAAAGGCUUCAAACGUCUUUAAACAUCAUUAUAUGUUACUGGAGGAUGCAGCUAUGCAUUAAAAAAAUAUUGUUUUAUUUUUUGAAAUUUUCUCAAAAUCUAUGUCUUAACCCCUACGAAAAUAUUGAGUUUUUGGUAAAUGUUUUAUAUACUGAAGCCUAUAAUCUUUAGUGUUGUUUUAAAAUUUCUAACCACAUUCUACAUUUGUAUUAAUGUAUUUUAUGCUCUUUUCAUGGUAUAAAGGAAUCGUUAUAACUUUUUUAUUAAUUACUUUAGUAAAACUUCAUAAUACUCCCUAAAUCGAUGGAAUAACCACUAUAAAAACACUAUUUUGUUAAAAAACGGAGACAACAAAGGCUUCAAACCUCUUUGAACAUCAUCAUACGUUACUAGAGGAUGCAACUAUGCAUUAAAA
Long non-coding RNA from Brassica rapa (field mustard), 628 nucleotides. RefSeq lists it as uncharacterized. Lineage: Eukaryota; Viridiplantae; Streptophyta; Magnoliopsida; Brassicales; Brassicaceae. The record is from RefSeq and is a predicted model, not a curated record.